Perca flavescens (yellow perch) is the source of this 707-nucleotide long non-coding RNA. RefSeq lists it as uncharacterized. The transcript has 4 exons. The record is from RefSeq and is a predicted model, not a curated record. NCBI's taxonomy places the organism in Eukaryota, Metazoa, Chordata, Actinopteri, Perciformes, Percidae.
CCUGUGCUUUUCCUACUAUGACAUGUCAACAUCAUGUCUGCCGUGAAAAAUGUCUAUACAUUCGUGACAGACUAAAAUAUAACAAAAUAACAAAUGGAAUUGUUGGUUGAGGGAACAAAAUGUGUAAAAAUAACAUUUAUUCUCGAAACGUGCCACCAGCGAGGUCGCAGCUAGCGAGCUAUAGCUAGGUAGCGACAGCAAUGGUUAAGCUAGCUCCGCUAACGUUAGCGUGGACGACAACACGGACAUCGCAGAGCUACAAACGAGGAAGAGGCCGAAGAAUCAGACUUGGACACUGCACUUGUGGCAGAAAUGGACGGAUAAACAACCAAAGGCCUUGGAAAGUGGAUUCCGGAGCCGGAAGCAACUGGAGAUGCUCAAUACCAUUUCUUCGCCCAGCCUGUUAACUUGCCAACGUUAGCCAUGAAGCUACAUGAAGGCGCAGAACGUAUGUGGUGGUUGGCCAUCGUCUGGUCUCUUUGCGGUGGGUUCAAGUGCAACUUUUUGGCCAAGACAGAGACGACGUAAGUCCAGACGAGAUGGCAAGCCAGCAGGGAGAGAGAGAGGGAUUUCAACGUCACAGAGAGGGACCGGUCGUAGAGUUGCAACCCUAAAGUGGAUUUUCAUGUUUGUCUGUACUUUCCAGACAUGCGGAUGACUACCCAGGGGAUGCACAAGACCUGUGUCCUUGAUUUGCAGUGGCCAUU